This 252-nucleotide ribosomal RNA is filed under the name uncultured bacterium. RNAcentral's name for it is "partial 16S ribosomal RNA". It matches the Rfam family "Bacterial small subunit ribosomal RNA", at positions 524 to 776 of the family's 1533-position model. The record is from RNAcentral.
UACGGAGGAUGCGAGCGUUAUCCGGAUUUAUUGGGUUUAAAGGGUGCGUAGGCGGACUGUCAAGUCAGCGGUAAAAUACGGGGGCUCAACCUCCGCCCGCCGUUGAAACUGACGGUCUUGAGUGGGCGAGAAGUAUGCGGAAUGCGUGGUGUAGCGGUGAAAUGCAUAGAUAUCACGCAGAACUUCGAUUGCGAAGGCAGCAUACCGGCGCCCUACUGACGCUGAGGCACGAAAGCGUGGGUAUCGAACAGG